RNAcentral lists this ribosomal RNA (760 nucleotides) under uncultured bacterium. Its description in RNAcentral is "bacterial SSU rRNA". It matches the Rfam family "Bacterial small subunit ribosomal RNA", at positions 8 to 814 of the family's 1533-position model. The record is from RNAcentral.
AGGGUUUGAUCAUGGCUCAGAACGAACGCUGGCGGCAGGCCUAACACAUGCAAGUCGAGCGCGCCUUUCGAGGUGAGCGGCGGACGGGUUAGUAACGCGUGGGAAUAUACCCUUUUCUACGGAAUAGCCUCUGGAAACGGAGAGUAAUACCGUAUGAGCCCUUCGGGGGAAAGAUUUAUCGGGAAAGGAUUAGCCCGCGUUAGAUUAGGUAGUUGGUGGGGUAAUGGCCUACCAAGCCUACGAUCUAUAGCUGGUUUUAGAGGAUGAUCAGCAACACUGGGACUGAGACACGGCCCAGACUCCUACGGGAGGCAGCAGUGGGGAAUCUUGGACAAUGGGGGCAACCCUGAUCCAGCCAUGCCGCGUGAGUGAUGAAGGCCUUAGGGUCGUAAAGCUCUUUCGCCUGUGAAGAUAAUGACGGUAGCAGGUAAAGAAACCCCGGCUAACUCCGUGCCAGCAGCCGCGGUAAUACGGAGGGGGUUAGCGUUGUUCGGAAUUACUGGGCGUAAAGCGCACGUAGGCGGACUGGAAAGUUGGGGGUGAAAUCCCAGGGCUCAACCCUGGAACUGCCUCCAAAACUAUCAGUCUAGAGUUCGAGAGAGGUGAGUGGAAUUCCGAGUGUAGAGGUGAAAUUCGUAGAUAUUCGGAGGAACACCAGUGGCGAAGGCGGCUCACUGGCUCGAUACUGACGCUGAGGUGCGAAAGUGUGGGGAGCAAACAGGAUUAGAUACCCUGGUAGUCCACACCGUANACGAUGAAU